GUCGUGCUGGCGCAAUGGUAGCGCGCCAGCCUCCUAAGCUGGAAGUUACGAGUUCGAGUCUCGUGUACGAUG
Sodiomyces alkalinus F11 is the source of this 72-nucleotide non-coding RNA. The record is from the annotation of a RefSeq genome assembly. Lineage: Eukaryota; Fungi; Ascomycota; Sordariomycetes; Glomerellales; Plectosphaerellaceae.